AAAGACGGAUUAGGAAACAGGAAGGCUGGAGUCUAGGACUGGUGGUAGCCCUGCCACGUGAAGCAACCCUGUCUGCCAAAGGGGAGAAAGAGGCAGAUAAAAUAGCUGUUGCACCAGAAGUAAGGGCUCCACUUGGGGAGAUGCUGGCUUCUCCAAGGACUAGGGAUGGAGGCGUCUGGGAUGUCGGGGUUCAGCUGAAGUACAAGUCAAAAAGACCCUAAGAAACCAGCCCUGGAUGAAUCGUCAUCUGGGAAGCAGCCCCAUGUUCAGCCUCUCACCGCUGGGCCUGAUGCGUGAGAUACAUCAUCAACAUCGUGAAGCGUUUAUUCAGCAUGUAUUGGCACGUGGUACUAGGCUCCGCUCAGAUCAAAGAGAACAGUCUAGACCCAGCCCUGUCCCAACUGUACCUUACAACACACACAGGGUAAUAAUGAUCUCCGUCAGUGCUGUGGUC
Long non-coding RNA from Dama dama (fallow deer), 454 nucleotides. RefSeq lists it as uncharacterized. The transcript has 2 exons. The record is from RefSeq and is a predicted model, not a curated record. Lineage: Eukaryota; Metazoa; Chordata; Mammalia; Artiodactyla; Cervidae.